This 253-nucleotide ribosomal RNA is filed under the name uncultured bacterium. RNAcentral's name for it is "partial 16S ribosomal RNA". It matches the Rfam family "Bacterial small subunit ribosomal RNA", at positions 524 to 776 of the family's 1533-position model. The record is from RNAcentral.
UACGAAGGGGGCUAGCGUUGUUCGGAAUUACUGGGCGUAAAGCGCACGUAGGCGGACUAUUAAGUCAGGGGUGAAAUCCCGGAGCUCAACUCCGGAACUGCCCUUGAAACUGCAGUGCUAGAAUCUUGGAGAGGCGAGUGGAAUUCCGAGUGUAGAGGUGAAAUUCGUAGAUAUUCGGAAGAACACCAGUGGCGAAGGCGACUCGCUGGACAAGUAUUGACGCUGAGGUGCGAAAGCGUGGGGAGCAAACAGG